Molecule: ribosomal RNA, 590 nt
Filed under: uncultured bacterium
Lineage: Bacteria
Description: bacterial SSU rRNA
Rfam family: Bacterial small subunit ribosomal RNA
Source: RNAcentral
UCCUACGGGAGGCAGCAGUAGGGAAUCUUCCGCAAUGGACGAAAGUCUGACGGAGCAACGCCGCGUGAGUGAUGAAGGCUUUCGGGUCGUAAAACUCUGUUGUUAGGGAAGAACAAGUGCUAGUUGAAUAAGCUGGCACCUUGACGGUACCUAACCAGAAAGCCACGGCUAACUACGUGCCAGCAGCCGCGGUAAUACGUAGGUGGCAAGCGUUAUCCGGAAUUAUUGGGCGUAAAGCGCGCGCAGGUGGUUUCUUAAGUCUGAUGUGAAAGCCCACGGCUAAACCGUGGAGGGUCAUUGGAAACUGGGAGACUUGAGUGCAGAAGAGGAAAGUGGAAUUCCAUGUGUAGCGGUGAAAUGCGUAGAGAUAUGGAGGAACACCAGUGGCGAAGGCGACUUUCUGGUCUGUAACUGACACUGAGGCGCGAAAGCGUGGGGAGCAAACAGGAUUAGAUACCCUGGUAGUCCACGCCGUAAACGAUGAGUGCUAAGUGUUAGAGGGUUUCCGCCCUUUAGUGCUGAAGUUAACGCAUUAAGCACUCCGCCUGGGGAGUACGGCCGCAAGGCUGAAACUCAAAGGAAUUGACGGA